RNAcentral lists this ribosomal RNA (1366 nucleotides) under uncultured bacterium. RNAcentral's name for it is "16S ribosomal RNA". It matches the Rfam family "Bacterial small subunit ribosomal RNA", at positions 8 to 1386 of the family's 1533-position model. The record is from RNAcentral.
AGAGUUUGAUUCUGGCUCAGGAUGAACGCUGGCGGCGUGCUUAACACAUGCAAGUCGAACGAGAGAAGAUUGGUGCUUGCACUGAUCCGAUCGAGUGGCGGACGGGUGAGUAACGCGUGGGUAACCUGCCUCAUACAGGGGAAUAACAGUUGGAAACGGCUGCUAAAACCGCAUAAGCGCACAGUAUCGCAUGAUACAGUGUGAAAAACUCCGGUGGUAUGAGAUGGACCCGCGUCUGAUUAGCUAGUUGGUGAGGUAACGGCCCACCAAGGCGACGAUCAGUAGCCGGCCUGAGAGGGUGAACGGCCACAUUGGGACUGAGACACGGCCCAAACUCCUACGGGAGGCAGCAGUGGGGAAUAUUGCACAAUGGGGGAAACCCUGAUGCAGCGACGCCGCGUGAGUGAUGAAGUAUUUCGGUAUGUAAAGCUCUAUCAGCAGGGAAGAUAAUGACGGUACCUGACUAAGAAGCACCGGCUAAAUACGUGCCAGCAGCCGCGGUAAUACGUAUGGUGCAAGCGUUAUCCGGAUUUACUGGGUGUAAAGGGUGCGUAGGUGGUGAGACAAGUCUGAAGUGAAAAUCCGGGGCUUAACCCCGGAACUGCUUUGGAAACUGCCUGACUAGAGUACAGGAGAGGUAAGUGGAAUUCCUAGUGUAGCGGUGAAAUGCGUAGAUAUUAGGAGGAACACCAGUGGCGAAGGCGACUUACUGGACUGCUACUGACACUGAGGCACGAAAGCGUGGGGAGCAAACAGAAUUAGAUACCCUGGUAGUCCACGCCGUAAACGAAGAAUAAUAGGUGUCGGGGCCCAAAAGGCUUCGGUGCCGCAGCCAACGCAAUAAAGUAUUCCCCCUGGGGAGUGCGUUCGCAAGAAUGAAACUCAAAGGAAAUGACGGGGACCCGCACAAGCGGUGGAGCAUGUGGUUUAAUUCGAAGCAACGCGAAGAACCUUACCAAGUCUUGACAUCCUGCUGACCGUUCCUUAACCGGAACUUUCCUUCGGGACAGCAGAGACAGGUGGUGCAUGGUUGUCGUCAGCUCGUGUCGUGAGAUGUUGGGUUAAGUCCCGCGACGAGCGCAACCCCUAUUUCCAGUAGCCAGCAGUCAGAUGGGCACUCUGGAGAGACUGCCGGGGAUAACCCGGAGGAAGGUGGGGAUGACGUCAAAUCAUCAUGCCCCCUAUGAUUUGGGCUACACACGUGCUACAAUGGCAGUUACAAAGAGAAGCGAAACUGUGAAGUGGAGCAAACCUCAAAAAGGCUGUCUCAGUUCGGAUUGUAGUCUGCAACUCGACUACAUGAAGCUGGAAUCGCUAGUAAUCGCAGAUCAGAAUGCUGCGGUGAAUAAAAUCCCGGGUCUUGCAC